GGGGUAUAGCUCAGUUGGGAGAGCGCUUGACUGGCAGUCAAGAGGUCGUGGGUUCAAUUCCCUCUACCUCC
Molecule: transfer RNA, 71 nt
Filed under: uncultured Mailhella sp.
Lineage: Bacteria; Pseudomonadati; Thermodesulfobacteriota; Desulfovibrionia; Desulfovibrionales; Desulfovibrionaceae
Rfam family: tRNA
About the family: Transfer RNA (tRNA) molecules are approximately 80 nucleotides in length. Their secondary structure includes four short double-helical elements and three loops (D, anti-codon, and T loops).
Source: RNAcentral